AAAGUCAAAAUAGAGCCAAAAAAUGAUGGGAUGUGGGGGGGAGGGAACGUCCUGGUGGGUUCACUGGUCUCUGCUGAAGGGUGGGAGCCAACUCAGGAUGAGCUUGGUCCAAAUUUGGGGGGAAAUGGCUCGUUUUUGCCCCAAAAAAUGGGUAGGGAUGGGCCUUGGGGGAUAGAGUGUGGCGUUGUUGGUCUCUGCUGGGGGGUGGGAGCCAACUCAGGAUGAGCUUGGUCCAAAUUUUGGUGAAAAUGGCUUGUUUUUACCCCAAAAAUAGGGUAGGGAAGGGCCUGGGGGGGUAGAUUGCGGCUUUGCUGGUUUCUGCUGGGGGGUGGGAGCCAACUCAGGAUGAGUUUGGUCCAAAUUUGGGGGAAAAUGGCUCGUUUUUACCCCAAAAAUAGGGUAGGGAUGGGCCUUGGGGGAUAGAGUGUGGCGUCGUUGGUUUCUGCUGGGGGGUGAGAGCCAACUCAGGGUGAAUUUGGUCCAAAUUUGGGGGAAAAUGGCUCGGUUUUGCCCUAGAAAAUGGGUUGGGUUGAUCCUACACGCAGAGAGGAGGGUUGUGGGUAUCCAGAAAUUGGAGCAAAAGUCAAAAUUGAGCCAAAAAACGAUGGGAUACGGCAAGGAGGGAACGUCCUGGUGGGUUCACUGGUCUCUGCUGAAGGGUGGGAGCCAACUCAGGAUGAGUUUGGUCUGAAUUUGGGGGAAAAUGGCUCAUUUUUACCCCAAAAAAUGGGUAGGGAAGGGCCUGUGGGGGUAGAUUGCGGCUUUGU
This 767-nucleotide long non-coding RNA is filed under the name Numida meleagris (helmeted guineafowl). Its description in RNAcentral is "lncRNA (ENSNMEG00000000708.1)". Lineage: Eukaryota; Metazoa; Chordata; Aves; Galliformes; Numididae. The record is from RNAcentral.